RNAcentral lists this long non-coding RNA (1118 nucleotides) under Phasianus colchicus (ring-necked pheasant). RNAcentral describes it as "lncRNA (ENSPCLG00000000256.1)". The record is from RNAcentral. Lineage: Eukaryota; Metazoa; Chordata; Aves; Galliformes; Phasianidae.
UGGCAGCUUUGGUUUUGCUUUAUGGGUGGUCUUUGUUCUUCAAGACUCAUAUGAAUACCACAUAUUAGCUGAGCUGGUUCUCCCUUGAUGUCUGUGUUGUAUUGUACACAUGUUGUCACUGUUUGACACUUAAACAAUCCAGAUUCUUACCCAGCCCAUAUUUAGUGCCAUAAUAAACUUCGGAGCAUAUGUUUUUGAGAGCAACAGUAACAUUCAUCACUGCAAUGUGACAUAAAAAUAAGCACUACUGGAGAGCCGGCGUGCCUUCAGAGGGCAGAGCUGGACUGGAAGGUGAAGGGAUGUGGUCAUCAUCUGUGCUGCUCUUACUGGGCUCUUUUCUUCCUCGCCUUGUCUCAGUAAAUCAAAGCAGUUGUUGAAGUGACCUCCAAAAUUCACCCCGUACAUGUGAAAAACACACACUGUUACAAAACUUUUUUAGUGAAACAUUUCCUGUUUGGGGCUUUGGCUUGACAAACCAGAGAUGCAUAAACCAUCGCUCCUCUCUUCAUCUCUCUCAUUCUCUCUUUCAGCAGGGAGUUCCUCUGGGGCCCAGUCCGAAGCACCGGUCUGGCAGCUGCGCCGCACCAAUGCCUCCCGCUCCCGAGACCAUCUCCCCGAGGAAGCAUCUCCUGACCAACGUGCCUUCGCAGACUGCACUAAUUGAGGCGCUUCUAUUAUUGAUGUCACUUGGAGAUCUGAUUGUCAACAUCACAAAAACAGCACCAGGAAAAGCCACAAGAUACUGCAUAAAGCCCAGAACGACUGAAAGUUGGAGGACUUCUUUUCAGGAGACAAAUUUUCACUGGUUUAUCAGCCUCUGCUUUUAUGGAUCUUUUAUGGAUAUAAGGACAAGUUCAGCUUCCUUCUCCGUUUAGCUGACAUAAUUUACAGUCGGAUGCACCAUAGACGGACGGAACGCCGAAAUAUUGCAGCUGCAGACGGAGCGAAGGGCCGCGAUCAGCGCAGCGUGAGCUCCCCCUGCCCGCCGCUGCGGGAGGAGCUGCGGUUCCCCAUUUUCAUCUCGCCCCCUACAGCCCGUGAACGAAACGCACACCAGGUAUUUAAGGCUUCGACCUGUUUCGCUCCAAUAAUAAAAGAAUUGUAUGAAAAUGAUAUCA